Molecule: ribosomal RNA, 233 nt
Filed under: uncultured bacterium
Lineage: Bacteria
Description: partial 16S ribosomal RNA
Rfam family: Bacterial small subunit ribosomal RNA
Source: RNAcentral
CGGGUGAGUAACGCGUGAGGAACCUGCCUCAAAGAGGGGGACAACAGUUGGAAACGACUGCUAAUACCGCAUAAGCCCACGGCUCGGCAUCGAGCAGAGGGAAAAGGAGUGAUCCGCUUUGAGAUGGCCUCGCGCCCGAUUAGCUAGUUGGUGAGGUAACGGCCCACCAAGGCGACGAUCGGUAGCCGGACUGAGAGGUUGAACGGCCACAUUGGGACUGAGACACGGCCCAG